This 568-nucleotide ribosomal RNA is filed under the name uncultured archaeon. RNAcentral describes it as "bacterial SSU rRNA". It matches the Rfam family "Archaeal small subunit ribosomal RNA", at positions 326 to 900 of the family's 1478-position model. The record is from RNAcentral.
CGGGGUGCACCAGGCGCGAAAACUUUACAAUGCCGGCAACGGCGAUAAGGGAACCUCGAGUGCCAGGUUACAAAUCUGGUUGUCGUGAUGCCUAAAAAGCAUUGCAUAGCAAGGGCCGGGCAAGACCGGUGCCAGCCGCCGCGGUAACACCGGCGGCUCGAGUGGUAACCGUUAUUAUUGGGUCUAAAGGGUCUGUAGCCGGCCGGAUAAGUCUCUUGGGAAAUCUGGCAGCUUAACUGUCAGGCUUUCAGGAGAUACUGUCUGGCUCGAGGCCGGGAGAGGUGAGAGGUACUUCAGGGGUAGGGGUGAAAUCUUGUAAUCCUUGAAGGACCACCAGUGGCGAAGGCGUCUCACCAGAACGGACCUGACGGCAAGGGACGAAAGCUAGGGGCACGAACCGGAUUAGAUACCCGGGUAGUCCUAGCCGUAAACGAUACUCGCUAGGUGUCGGCCACGGUGCGACCGUGGUCGGUGCCGUAGGGAAGCCGUGAAGCGAGCCACCCGGGAAGUACGGCCGCAAGGCUGAAACUUAAAGGAAUUGGCGGGGGAGCACAAGGGCGAAUCGCGG